Molecule: ribosomal RNA, 439 nt
Filed under: uncultured bacterium
Lineage: Bacteria
Description: partial 16S ribosomal RNA
Rfam family: Bacterial small subunit ribosomal RNA
Source: RNAcentral
CUACGGGGGGCAGCAGUGAGGAAUAUUGCACAAUGGGGGGAACCCUGAUGCAGCAACGCCGCGUGGAGGAUGACGCAUUUCGGUGUGUAAACUCCUUUUAUAUGUCAAGAAAAUGACGGUAGCAUAUGAAUAAGCACCGGCUAACUCCGUGCCAGCAGCCGCGGUAAUACGGAGGGUGCAAGCGUUACUCGGAAUCACUGGGCGUAAAGGACGCGUAGGCGGGUUGGAAAGUCAGGUGUGAAAUCCUACAGCUUAACUGUAGAGCUGCACUUGAAACUUCUAAUCUAGAGUCUGGGAGGGGGAGAUGGAAUUAGUGGUGUAGGGGUAAAAUCCGUAGAUAUCACUAGGAAUACCUAAAGCGAAGGCGAUCUCCUGGAACACUACUGACGCUAAGGCGUGAAAGCGUGGGGAGCAAACAGGAUUAGAUACCCUUGUAGUC